GCCUGACAGUCCCCCCAAAAAGCUGGAAUUACCGGCAGAGUCCCCAUGGUGACCCCGGUUUCUCUGGGA
Tachyglossus aculeatus (Australian echidna) is the source of this 69-nucleotide small nucleolar RNA. Lineage: Eukaryota; Metazoa; Chordata; Mammalia; Monotremata; Tachyglossidae. The record is from RefSeq and is a predicted model, not a curated record.